GCCUGGGUGGCUCAGUCGGUUGAGCCUCCGACUUCGGCUCAGGUCACGAUCUCACAGUUCGUGGGUUCGAGCCCCGCGUCAGGCU
RNAcentral lists this transfer RNA (85 nucleotides) under Felis catus (domestic cat). It matches the Rfam family "tRNA". From Rfam's summary of the family: Transfer RNA (tRNA) molecules are approximately 80 nucleotides in length. Their secondary structure includes four short double-helical elements and three loops (D, anti-codon, and T loops). Lineage: Eukaryota; Metazoa; Chordata; Mammalia; Carnivora; Felidae. The record is from Rfam by way of RNAcentral.